UGUUACAUACACCUCUGCCCAGCACCUGAGUGAUUUGACUCUUCUGCUUGGGCCCAGCGUACAGAUGGGAUUGUGCCGCAUUGCUGGACCCAGCACUUAGGUGAUGACAGAAUUGUAACAUAUCCCUGGCUGAGCACUCAGGUGAUGUGACACUCCUGCUUGGCUUCUUCCCUCAGAGAAGAUUAUGAGAUAUCCAUGGCUGAAAUCCAGGGGGAAUUGUGACAUAUCACUUGGCCCAGUACCAAGCAGGUGUGACUCUUCUAUUCAUCAUAAGUCCUGCUUUCAAGGGAGAUUGGGACAUAUUGUGGGGCUCAACACCAAUGUGACAUUACUGUUUUGCCUUGGCCCAGACCUUAAAGGCACUGUGACGUAUUGCUCGGCUCAGCAACAAGGUGACGAGAGAUCCUGUGUGGACAUUGACAACAGACAGCAUUGUGACAUAUCUUUGGGAGCAUCAGCUAUUUGAUGUGACUCUCCUUUUAUACCAAGGCUUUGCUCAUAGGGGAGAUCGUGAUGUAUCUUCUGGCCCAGAAAUCAGGCAAUGUGUUUCUCCUGCCUGAGCUUUGCUCACAGGGAGCAUUGUGACAUAUCACUGAGCCCAGCACCCAGGUGAUGGGACUCUACUGCCUGUCCCCUGCUUUCAGGAGGAAAUUGUAACAUAUCUCUGACCAAGCACCCAGGUGAUAAGUCUUCUGCCUGGUGCCUGUUCUCAGGGAAGAUUGUGACAUAUCCCUGGCCCAGCACC
This 745-nucleotide long non-coding RNA is filed under the name Pan troglodytes (chimpanzee). RNAcentral's name for it is "long non-coding RNA NONPTRT008037". Lineage: Eukaryota; Metazoa; Chordata; Mammalia; Primates; Hominidae. The record is from RNAcentral.